AGUGUAGAGGUGAAAUUCGUAGAUAUUUGGAGGAACACCAGUGGCGAAGGCGGCUCACUGGCUCGAUACUGACGCUGAGGUACGAAAGUGUGGGGAGCAAACAGGAUUAGAUACCCUGGUAGUCCACACCGUAAACGAUGAAUGCCAGACGUCAGCAAGCAUGCUUGUUGGUGUCACACCUAACGGAUUAAGCAUUCCGCCUGGGGAGUACGGUCGCAAGAUUAAAACUCAAAGGAAUUGACGGGGGCCCGCACAAGCGGUGGAGCAUGUGGUUUAAUUCGACGCAACGCGCAGAACCUUACCAACCCUUGACAUACUUGUCGCGGAUUCCAGAGAUGGAUUCCUUCAGUUCGGCUGGACAAUGUACAGGUGCUGCAUGGCUGUCGUCAGCUCGUGUCGUGAGAUGUUCGGUUAAGUCCGGCAACGAGCGCAACCCACGUCCUUAGUUACCAGCAUUUAGUUGGGUACCCUAAGGAGACUGCCGGUGAUAAGCCGGAGGAAGGUGUGGACGACGUCAAGUCAUCAUGGCCCUUACGGGUUGGGCUACACACGUGCUACAAUGGCAUCUACAGUGAGUUAAUCUCCAAAAGAUGUCUCAGUUCGGAUUGGGGUCUGCAACUCGACCCCAUGAAGUUGGAAUCGCUAGUAAUCGCGGAACAGCAUGCCGCGGUGAAUACGUUCCCGGGCCUUGUACACACCGCCCGUCACACCAUGGGAAUUGGGUCUACCCGAAGGUGGUGCGCCAACUAUUUAUAGAGGCAGCCAACCACGGUAGGUUCAGUGACUGGGGUGAAGUCGUAACAAGGUAACC
Molecule: ribosomal RNA, 811 nt
Filed under: uncultured bacterium
Lineage: Bacteria
Description: bacterial SSU rRNA
Rfam family: Bacterial small subunit ribosomal RNA
Source: RNAcentral